UACGUAGGUGGCAAGCGUUGUCCGGAUUUACUGGGCGUAAAGAGCGCGCAGGCGGUCGGUCAAGUCGCGUGUGAAAGCCCCCGGCUCAACUGGGGAGGGUCACGCGAUACUGAUCGACUCGAAGGCAGGAGAGGGAAGUGGAAUUCCCGGUGUAGUGGUGAAAUGCGUAGAUAUCGGGAGGAACACCUGUGGCGAAGGCGGCCCCCUGGUCGGAUACUGACGCUGAGACGCGAAAGCGUGGGUAGCAAACGGG
RNAcentral lists this ribosomal RNA (253 nucleotides) under uncultured bacterium. RNAcentral's name for it is "partial 16S ribosomal RNA". It matches the Rfam family "Bacterial small subunit ribosomal RNA", at positions 524 to 776 of the family's 1533-position model. The record is from RNAcentral.